This 76-nucleotide transfer RNA is filed under the name Planctomycetota bacterium. RNAcentral describes it as "Planctomycetes bacterium tRNA-Arg". The record is from RNAcentral. Lineage: Bacteria; Pseudomonadati; Planctomycetota.
ACACCGGGGAGAGGUCAGUUCGAGCAGCGGACUUCUCAUCCGCAGGUUGUCGGUUCGAGUCCUACCGGGUGUGCCA